This 430-nucleotide ribosomal RNA is filed under the name uncultured bacterium. RNAcentral describes it as "bacterial SSU rRNA". It matches the Rfam family "Bacterial small subunit ribosomal RNA", at positions 29 to 507 of the family's 1533-position model. The record is from RNAcentral.
AACGAACGCUGGCGGCAUGCCUAACACAUGCAAGUCGAACGCUAUUUAUAGAGUGGCGCACGGGUGAGUAACGCGUGGGAACCUGCCGUUUUUCUGCGGGAUAACGGUUGGAAACGACCGCUAAUACCGCAUACGCCCUACGGGGGAAAGGUCCGCCGGAAAAAGAGGGGCCCGCGUCUGAUUAGCUUGUUGGUAGGGUAAUGGCCUACCAAGGCGACGAUCAGUAGCUGGUCUGAGAGGAUGAUCAGCCACACUGGGACUGAGACACGGCCCAGACUCCUACGGGAGGCAGCAGUGGGGAAUAUUGGACAAUGGGGGCAACCCUGAUCCAGCAAUGCCGCGUGUGUGAUGAAGGCCUUAGGGUUGUAAAGCACUUUCACUGGUGAAGAUGAUGACGGUAACCAGAGAAGAAGCCCCGGCUAACUUCGUG